UCUACGGGUGGCAGCAGUGGGGGAUAUUGCACAAUGGGGGAAACCCUGAUGCAGCGACGCCGCGUGAGUGAAGAAGUAUUUCGGUAUGUAAAGCUCUAUCAGCAGGGAAGAAAAUGACAGUAACUGACCAAGAAGCCCCGGCUAACUACGUGCCAGCCGCCGCGGUAAUACGUAGGGGGAGAGCGUUAUCCGGAUUGACUGGGUGUAAAGGGCGCGUAGAAGGGUAUGUAAGCCUGUAGUGAAAGCCCGGGGCCCAACCCCGGGACUGCUUUGGACACUGUGUAACUGGAGUACAGGAGGGGCAGGCGGAAUUCCUGGUGUAGCGGUGAAAUGCGUAGAUAUCAGGAGGAACACCGGCGGCGAAGGCGGCCUGCUGGACUGAAACUGACGUUGAGGCUCGAAAGCGUGGGGAGCAAACAGGAUUAGAUACCCGUGUAGUC
Molecule: ribosomal RNA, 440 nt
Filed under: uncultured bacterium
Lineage: Bacteria
Description: partial 16S ribosomal RNA
Rfam family: Bacterial small subunit ribosomal RNA
Source: RNAcentral